This 894-nucleotide ribosomal RNA is filed under the name Triticum aestivum (bread wheat). Its description in RNAcentral is "partial small subunit ribosomal RNA". Lineage: Eukaryota; Viridiplantae; Streptophyta; Magnoliopsida; Poales; Poaceae. The record is from RNAcentral.
AUGCCCUAUAUAAAGCAGUGGCACCCGGCUCUGUUCUUCCCCACAACACACACAGCCAGCACCUGCAGCUGCGUCCCACUGCAAAUCCUCCAACUCCACUUCCUUCUCGUGGCGUCUCUUUCCGGCCGGCAUCCCCUAGCCCAGCCUACCUCGCUCCAAUUACACCAGCCGUCACCUCCACCGUGUCUCCAUUUCGCCAUGGCUAACUCAAUGCUCGACUCGCCGCCGCAGCUCCCUGCCGCCGGCCCUUGGGGCUCUCUGUUCGCCGUCCAGGAACCCGCGAAGCCUCGGCGUGUGUCGGUGGCGCUACCGUUCGCUCCCAAGAAGAUGCCGGCGUACCGGUACGGCAUGAAGCGGAACCUGGAGAUGUGCACCGAGGCGCUCGGGUGCGAGACCGGUGGCGUCGACCCAGCCGCUGACGACGCCGACGAGGGCGUGGAGCGCAAGAGGAAAUACAGGGAGGAGGAGGAGGAGGAGACCAAGGUGGAGCGGACGGAGCGGAGGGCGCGCGUGCUGCCACCGCCGCUGACGACGCUGGCGGCUGGCGCGACCCGCAUGCGCAUGGUCCACGAGCGACGCGGCGGGCGGCUAGAGGUGUACGCCGUGCGGGCCUCCGGAAUGGAGGCCGAGCGGAGCGGCGGCCGUCUUCGGCUCCGCCUCAUGCCCUGCGCCGGCUGCAAUGCCGCCGCCGUGUGCAGCAGCCAACAAGAACCGCAAGAAGCAGAGGAAGAUGAGACAGAGGAGGUUGAUCAGCAGCGGCAGCAGCAGUGCGUGGUCCCCAAGUACGUGCGCCGCGAGCGGUGCCUGAAGGUGGAGAGUGGCGCCACGGCGGCGAGGUGCAGCAUCAAAUGGGAGCAGGAGCAGGCUGCCGCGUUCUGGGUGGCAACCACCUGA